AUGAUGGCAAAGCCGGAUUUAAAGGAUUUGUUGACUCUGUCUAUGUUGGAUGUUGUCUAUGUUGGAUGUAUGGAUACCAAAAAACCUCUUUUAGGAUAUGUUUUCAUUAUGUUUGGCUUAAUAAUUAGUUGGAAAGCAACGCUUCAGAAGGUUGUAGUCUUAUCAACCAUUGAAGCUGGACAUAUUUCCCUAUCUGAAAUUGUAAAAGAGGCAUUGUGA
This is a non-coding RNA of Vicia faba (fava bean), 219 nucleotides long. NCBI's taxonomy places the organism in Eukaryota, Viridiplantae, Streptophyta, Magnoliopsida, Fabales, Fabaceae. The record is from the annotation of a GenBank genome assembly.